UAAAGGAGAGGCCCCUCGUGCAAAGAAAACAAAGCAGGGAAACCUUUUCUCCUCUGGGGUUGAGUGAAGACCUUCCUAGUGGAGGAAAGGAAUAUAAAGAUGUCGCAGGAAAAAGAGAAGCCAGUGUGGCCAGAUCUUCAAAGAAAGAGAUAUCCUUUCGAGGCAACACAAGAAGCCAACUACAGAUGAGAAUAUUAUUCUCUUGGUGCAGGGAUUGUUGCAUGUGGACCCCAUCAGCCUUGAAAAGUCCAUGGCUUCAACACUCUGUGGCCUUUGACAGGC
Molecule: long non-coding RNA, 282 nt
Filed under: Pan troglodytes (chimpanzee)
Lineage: Eukaryota; Metazoa; Chordata; Mammalia; Primates; Hominidae
Description: long non-coding RNA NONPTRT002597
Source: RNAcentral